UCCCAUCACACGUGUCGUCUCCUCAUCUGUCCCUUCUACCCUUUUAUCCCCAUCCUCACCCUUCCUCUCCUCUUCCCCGUCCCCCCACUCUCUGGAUAUACACAGCUUCUUCGGUGUAUACGUACGCGUUUUUUUAGGUUUUGACGAAUGGAGCUAGAUUCUGAUGAAGAAGAUCACUGCCUGGCCAUUCCCCGCCGGGAACCUGACGCCGCUCCUCCCUCCGACGAGGACCUCGCCGGCAUCAGGACCGACUCCAGCGCCUCCUCCCUCUUCGGAUCUGACGACAGCCGGAGCACAACGAGCUCCAGCGACAUCUCCGGCAGCAGCGGGGAGAUCCCAGCUGCUGUGGUCGCCGACGUGGUGGUUCCGAGGUUGAUAGCUCCAGCUCCGCCGUCGGAUGCCGACGUGGCGGGUGGAGUCAGGAGGGAGAGGUGCGUUGGGAGGAGCAAGGGGUUGACGUGGGGGACCGCGACGUUAGUGGGGAGACGAAGGGAGAUGGAGGACGCCGUCGCCGUUAUACCGGCUUUUAUGUCUCGCACGUGCGAGACCUUGGGCGGGUGCACGGCUCCAGGUUCUAGAAGCUCCGGAGAGGUCGCGCCCGUACAUUUCUUCGGUGUCUACGACGGGCACGGAGGUUCUCAGGUGGCUAGAUUUUGUGCAGAACAUAUUCAUGAAGCUGUGGCUGCAGAAUGGGAUAGGGGAAAUGGUGAAGAAGGUUGGUGUAGUCGGUGGAAGGAGGCAUUUUCUAAUGGGUUUGAGAGGGUUGAUGGUGAUGUCAAUGUGGAGACAGUAGCAACGGAAAUGGUUGGUUCAACUGCUGUGGUAGUGGUGGUGUCAGGGUGUCAGAUCAUUGCUUCCAAUUGUGGAGACUCAAGGGCAGUUCUCUGUCGGGGGAACCAGACAAUCCCAUUAACUAUUGAUCACAAGCCUGAUAGAGAAGACGAGCUUUUGAGGAUUGAAAGUGGUGGAGGGAGGGUCAUAAGCUGGAAUGGGCCAAGGGUGUUUGGGGUUCUUGCCAUGUCCAGAGCAAUAGGCGAUCGGUAUCUGAGGCCUUGGAUUAUAGCAGUCCCUGAAGUCACUUUUACAACGAGGAGUGAAGAAGAUGAGUGUUUGAUAGUGGCCAGUGAUGGGCUUUGGGAUGUAAUGUCCAAUGACGAGGUAGGGGAGGUUGCUCGUCUCGUACUGAGGCGACACCGCCGAUCUGGACCAGCAGAUGAUAGAUCAUCACCGGCACAAGCUACCGCUGAGCAUCUUGCAGAGCUAGCUUACCGGAAAAAUAGUUCCGACAACAUCUCUAUCAUUGUUGUCGACCUUAAGCCCAAGAGAAAGCGGCAACAGAAACACUUUAAAGGUAUGUAUGGAUGCAGCUCGGGACAGAGGGAUGCAGAGGGUGCUUUUCAACCUUAGAAAAGCAAGCAGGGCUGUGUUUUCAGCCCCAAAGCAGCUGGUUGCAUCGUGCAUGUGCAUUUCAAUGCUUCAACUGUUCAAAUUAUAGAUUUAUAAUUACUGUAAAAUAGAAGGAAAUAGGAAACCGAAAAAUAUAAUUUAAGGACAGGCUAAAGCGUUGUCCUUAAAGCAUUAUUUGCUCCUCCUCAAAAUAAUUAAGAAUGCUGGCAGGUCGCAGGUAAAUAGCUUUCAGGAUACGACGAACCUAUGUGGUUUUGUGUUCAGCAAGCACAAAGGAACUACUGACGGAACUCUGUAAACACAAUUUUACUGGCAGAUGAAAGCUAAGAAGAAAAUUUUCAAAUGGAAAGAAAGAAAAUUGCACUAGUUUGAUUCUUAUGGACCUGCUGGUUUUGUACUUAGGUUCAUAUUGAACUUGCUGACUUGAUCAGAGAACAUUGGGAGCUUGCUGGUUCAUAUGAGAGAAUGAGUUGAUUUGUUUGAGAUGACAGAACGAACCAGUCAAGCUCUAUUUAUAUAGGCAAUGGUGGCUGGACAUUUUAGUCCAGGGUCAUAAAUGCAAUGGACUGUUUCUGACUGUUGGUGAGAAACUAGGUGGGCUUUUUUUUUUUUUUUUGGACCUUUUUACAAGUGAGAAAUUAGCUGCAUGCUAGUCGUUUAGACAACUAGCCACAUGCAACAGUUUUUACAUGGUUUGGUUAAUUACUCCAUGAAUGGUUACAACAUGCCUCAUAAACGGCUCAACAACUCCUAUGUAAAGGAGUGAGGUCUCUCUCAAAGCUCUUACCUACAACACUGCGAACCCAACCACCUAACACAUCUCUCUCUUAGCCACUACGACUUGCACCUGCCUUGCGCCGGUUCAUGUAAGGUCGCGAAGGAGCGACUCAUCUGUGAUAUGACGCACACGUGCAGAGUACACCUCUACAGCCUCUACAACCACACUACCUCACAUGCCCACACCCUCGCAUUGAGUCUGAGACUGUGAUUGAGCUCGUGCGAGCGCGCGUGUUCCAGUACGAAACGCAAGUCUUGGUACUCCUGUCUUACCAAGCAAAUAUUAAGGUCUGUGUGACCUUAUCAAGAGGUUGGAUGGCAAAUAAACACUAUGGUGGGCCCUAGGAAGUUUUUAAUGGUGGCCUCACUUGAUCAGCUCCCUUCAUACAAGUGUUUGACACGUCAGCACAUUGUGCAACUGGAAUUACUGGCCGAUAAUCAGUUGAAGGAAAUGAAAUCAACGCUGGUUUCUCCCAAGUUAUUUAAUCAUGACAGGGCCCGCCAAUGUACUAGGUUACCUGUUUCAUAUAUUUGAAUCAAGGUGGUGGGUUGAUUGCCACCAACAUCAUUCGACAGAGCAUGUAAUGAUCGGUUUCAAGCCCACGGCUCUAUUGUGGACAAGGCAUACCUGAAUACCAAGGUCUCAGGUUCAUCCCCAACUUACCUUUAUAAACAAGAAAGUAUUUUCUAGCAUGUAGCAUAUUUAAGCCUCAUGUAUGCUACAUGAUCCCCUGAAAUGUUGUUAUAUUCUACUGGCAGUCAUGCUAUCAAUAAGAUAAUAGUUAGGUACUGUUUUCUUAUUUUUUGUCUAGAGAAUGUGUUGGACAUGAUGAAAAAUUAGAUUGAUUAUAUUAUUAGAUCAGUCUUCACCCAAGUGAUGACUGGAAGAUUGUGUUUUAAGAAAAAUGAUGGAUUAUAUUAAGGAUAAUCUCCUUUCAUGUAUAUUAGGAAAGAAUAUUUUAUCUUC
This is an RNA transcript of Magnolia sinica, 3151 nucleotides long. It is a transcript of the gene named probable protein phosphatase 2C 6, with no coding region annotated. The record is from RefSeq and is a predicted model, not a curated record. The transcript is spliced from 8 exons. NCBI's taxonomy places the organism in Eukaryota, Viridiplantae, Streptophyta, Magnoliopsida, Magnoliales, Magnoliaceae.